Malurus melanocephalus (red-backed fairy wren) is the source of this 3694-nucleotide long non-coding RNA. RefSeq lists it as uncharacterized. The record is from RefSeq and is a predicted model, not a curated record. NCBI's taxonomy places the organism in Eukaryota, Metazoa, Chordata, Aves, Passeriformes, Maluridae. The transcript has 3 exons.
UCAACCAAGAAUAUAGAGAAAGAGCUUCUGCCCUGAGACUCAGAAAAAUAUUCUCCACUGCUUCCGUUCAGUAUAGAUUUCUAGACCCCGAUCCUUGCUUAGCAGAUUUUCAGAGGGCUGGGCAAUUGCAUCUCGGUGCCGGAAUUAUCCGAAAAUAUAGGCAAUUUUAAAACGUUAUGUGUGGCAUCAAAAGGAGCACUUGCUCGCAGACGACCGAGGGAAGGGCGCUUUCAGCUCCUUCUGCGGUAGCCCGAUCUCUGUCGCGCAUUAGCUGCCGUGGAAAAUGACCAGAAAUCUACUAUCUGAGAAAACCCAUCCAUCAUCUUCAGGCAAUCUUCCAAUCUGUUAACUUUAGCUGCUACUAAUAAGCGUCUCAGUCCAGGAAAAGCAAUUAUUACGAUGUUUCACAGAACAGCUUCCAGAUAACAUAUGAUGUAAACUGCUCUUGGGCAAUAUUUCUUCUAAGGAAACUAGUUUUUCUUUUUUUUUUUUWCUUCAGUAAGCAACUUUACUAGUGCAAGUGYGAUUAAAACUGAGGUAAAGAGGAAGAGCUGUUGGAAAUGGGGUUUGACCGUAGCUACUGUGCCCARUUACACCUCCGAAAGCUUUGAAUCACAAUGCUUUAUAAAGCCCUUUCUAUGGGCUUGAUCAGAGUGCAGACCUYGUCAGUGAGGUUGAGACAUCUUACAUGUGACUGAGAUAUGGUCACUAAUGUGUUACAUCACACAGAGCCAAACCAGGCAACCUGGUUUGACUGCAGCUUCCCAUCCAGAGAGAGGUAUCUCAUUUACUAUCUAACAUACGUAACCAGCAAUGCAAAACAAGCCAAACUYUGUGUGCUGCCGUCUCUGUUUUGAUCCUUGCUAUUUUGAGGCCCUUGAUAAAAAUGCAGCAUCCAAGCAGGCAGCCUGCAGUCAGUACCUUGCUCAGUGUGCUUGCACGUGGAGUCAUUUGCGUUUCUCUCAGUCCUCAGUCUCCACAGCACAUGGGAAGGCUGCUGUGGCAGGGGAGAUGCCCCUGGGAGGCCCUGCCAUGAGGGUGGUGUUCAUUGGCUUGCAGAGAUGGAGGCCUCUCCAAGAUAAUCAUGGACCAUUAUUAGGUGGCUUAGUGGAUAUUCUGCUAGACGAUGAACUCACCUGAGCUCCCAGUGCAGWGAACUUCCUAUUAGAAAAGGGCAGACCAAAGCAGGAGAGGCGCAAAAGAAGAGUAUGUGAUUUAUCUGUGACUAUCUUSACUGUAGCCUGAUUUCUGUAAUGAGGGACCUCUGUCAAGGGAUUGAGGAAGAAAAUUUGAAACUCCCCUAUGACAAAAAAAAAAUUGGCAAAGCUGUGCUUUCAGAUCCUACAGCCAAUACACCUAGGAUCAGUCAGAUAAUAAUGUGGUGGCAUCUCAYCAAGCCUCUCUGAUUAUUUUUGGGGGCUGGUUAAUAUCACACAUCUUUUUAGAAUGUUCCUGGCUGUUCUUCACGUGUCCUUGUAAGCAGAUGUUACCUCGUGACUGACUUUCAGUGUGCCCUUGCWAGGCUCCUUGAGCUUGAAGACUGUUGAUAGCAAACAUUCACAUGAUUCCAGACAUCCAUCUACCUCAUCAGACUGAUUGACUUGCAUUUUCAAUUUCACUUCUCUAGUGUAUUAUAGAUGCUCUUGGUGUGUUUAGAUUUCUGGGUACAGACUUGUUUUCUGAUCCUUGAAGAAUUACAUAAUAAAAGGAAAGCAUUCUAUAGAUUCCUUCUGAAAAAUUCAGAUUAAUGCGCUAGAUCUUCCUGUGUAAUAUAUAAUCCAAACCCAGAUACCAAUUUACUUUCUGAGAAAAAGUUUGGUCUUGAUUAUCAUCAUUAAGUUGUUUGCCUUUAAUUGCUGAAGACUGAUAGAUGCCAGCAAACAAUUUGGUUUUGAUGUCUGACAAGAGGGUAAGAUACAUUGCUGGAAGGUCAACAGUCAGUGUUUAGGAGUUCUUGGCCCCUUGUACAUCCUGCCAAUAAGUACCUGGAAAGUCUGAUUUUGCCAUAAGGCAUGCAAGUUGAUCAGAGCUUGGUUGUAGGAAAGUCUACAUUCUUCAUGCAAUUCAYAGGUGGUUUAAAAUAUUCACCAACUUAGUUAAGUGCCCUUUGUUCUCCUGCCCAGUAAUUCUACUAGAGAGAUGGAAAGUGUAAAAAUUACUUUCCCUGUGAUAGGGCAUAUUGAGACCUUCUGCUUUGUCAAUUAUUUUUUUUUUUUUGUUGGUUCUUUUUUGCUUCAUGUGAACAGUUUUUGGGCAUCAAUAGUGCAACAUAUUAAAAUGUGAUCAUGAGAUUGUGAGAAGGAAACAUCUAAUAGUACCUGCUGGAUUCCUGACAGCAUUGUGCUGUCUGUAAUGAUGAGAAAGGUAAAAUAAAAAUGACAUUUCCAGUUUGGCUGAUGCUCUGUAGCAUUAACAGGGAGUCCAACAGUCAGACAAUUUCAAGGACAGAAAUUCUUACAGGCCUAGUGAACUAAAAAAGUGCUACUUCUUUCUGUAUACUAUAGAAGAUUCUUUUAAAUAAAUAUGUAAAUUAAGAUAUAAAAUUUAAAGUAAUUCUUUGCUGCCGGUUUGAAACCAGAAAUCACUUUUUUUCCUAGAGACAUCCGUUUUCACUGAGAGUGACUCUGGUCUUUCUGAUAUUAYUCUGUUAUGUUAGUUCUCAGUAAUGUGCUCAGUCUCUACUGUACAAAUCAUGAAUGAAUAUAUUUUUUUAUCCAGAUAUUAAUUUUCUUGUAUAAGACAGUCUURUUCCCUAAAUCUUUUCAGACCUAUCACCCAUUUUAUGUGCACAACAGGUUUUUGAUGGCUCUGUAUUUCUUCCUAAUGCAAAAAUUCAAGAUGAAAUAAAAAUGAAUUUGAAUGUCUAAGUAUUUGAAUAUUACUCUGGUCUAGAUGCCACUGAGGCACAAAUGUAACAGUACACUUUUACAAAGAAGCACCAGAUGCAGAAUGCAACAUUCCAGGUGCACCAGAUUGUAUUCAGAUUCAUACAUGCCUUUUGUCUGAGUAAUUUACUCUUCUGAGAGUCAAGGGAAAUUCGGUGACAUUUUUUCAGUUUUGUACUUUGCAACUUAUUGAGGUCCCCAAAUUCAUAUUUCUUUACACUCUUCCUUUGUACUCACUGUGUUUCUGUGAAUGAAAAUACAUUUGAAAUCUACAUUGCUUUUGGGGCUUUGUUUAAACAGAAUUAGCAGCCAUAGAAGGAUCUCACCAAAGGUUUCCAUGACUUCCAGUUACAUCAUUAAUGAGGACCUUUUGAACGUUUUGGUCUUCUGUCUUCCAUAUGAAGWAAAAUAAUGAUCCUGCAUUUGAAAAACAUUUUGAAGUUGCCAGGGAUGUAGACAUACCACUUUACAAAGUGCAAAAAAUAAAAUGCCAUUUAACAGAACGACCAUGCUUUAUUAUAUUUACAACAAUGGAACRGGAAUAUAACAUUUUUAUUUAAAAAUCAGGCCACAGAUUAAGUUUUGAUUGCAGUAUUUUGUACUGAAAAUAAGAAUAAGAAAGCAAUUAAGUAUUCAUAGUUGUGCUCUCACACAAACACCUUCCAUGGUGAGCCUGUUUAUGCAACUGAGUAUGCCAUACAAUUGCUUUUAUUACCUUCUUAUAAAACAGCCUGUAUAAAACACUUUUUUUUGAUUGUUUCUUUGUGUAUUGUUGAGCAUGUUUGCAUUCUAAAGGGCUUUGCCUCAUU